CUAUCAUGCAGUCGAACGAGGGUAGUAAUACCCUAGUGGCGAACGGGUGAGUAACACGUAGGUAACCUGCCUUUUAGCUUGGGAUACCCGAAGGAAACUUUGGCUAAUACCGGAUAAUAACAACCGAGGCAUCUCGGAUGUUUGAAAGGAGCUCUAAAGCUUCACUAAAAGAUGGACCUGCGGCGCAUUAGCUAGUUGGUGAGAUAACAGCCCACCAAGGCGAGGAUGCGUAGCCGAACUGAGAGGUUGAACGGCCACAUUGGAACUGAGACACGGUCCAAACUCCUACGGGAGGCAGCAGUAAGGAGUUUUCGGCAAUGGGGGAAACCCUGACCGAGCAACGCCGCGUGAGUGAUGACGGCCCUAUGGGUUGUAAAGCUCUGUUAUAAGGGACGAACAGCUUUGCUAGGAAAUGAGCAGAGUCUGACGGUACUUUAUCAGAAAGCCACGGCUAACUACGUGCCAGCAGCCGCGGUAAUACGUAGGUGGCAAGCGUUAUCCGGAAUUAUUGGGCGUAAAGAGUGAGCAGGCGGCAGAUUAAGUUUGAGGUUAAAGCGUGGGGCUCAACCCCAUAAAGCCUUGAAAACUGAUCAGCUAGAGUACGAGAGAUGUGAAGGGAACUCCAUGUGUAGCGGUGAAAUGCGUAGAUAUAUGGAAGAACACCAGUGGCGAAGGCGCUUCACAAGCUCGAAACUGACGCUCAGUCACGAAAGCGUGGGUAGCAAAUAGGAUUAGAUACCCUAGUAGUCCACGCUGUAAACUAUGAGAACUAAAUAUUGCCGCGAGGCAGUGUUGAAGCUAACGCAUUAAGUUCUCCGCCUGGGGAGUACGGUCGCAAGACUGAAACUUAAAGGAAUUGACGGGGGCCCGCACAAGCAGUGGAGCAUGUGGAUUAAUUCGACGCAACGCGAAGAACCUUACCAAGAUUUGACAUGGGAACUAAAGCCCUAGAAAUAGGGUCAUAUCAGGUCUACACAGGUGGUGCAUGGUUGUC
This 994-nucleotide ribosomal RNA is filed under the name uncultured bacterium. RNAcentral's name for it is "bacterial SSU rRNA". It matches the Rfam family "Bacterial small subunit ribosomal RNA", at positions 50 to 1053 of the family's 1533-position model. The record is from RNAcentral.